Sinocyclocheilus anshuiensis is the source of this 445-nucleotide long non-coding RNA. RefSeq lists it as uncharacterized. The transcript has 2 exons. Lineage: Eukaryota; Metazoa; Chordata; Actinopteri; Cypriniformes; Cyprinidae. The record is from RefSeq and is a predicted model, not a curated record.
CGGGAGUCUACAGCUGGAGACACAGAGAAAGAGGAUGAGGAUGAGGAUGAUGAAACGGUGUAGUUCACCAAUGGACAGAAAGUAAAGAGACAUUCUCAGAACUGCAUCUAUCCUGCUACAUUCAUUCACAGUGUAUUUUGUCUUCCUAAACUUAAAUCUGAAUGUCACCUGCACUCACCCACACACGCUCGGCGUAUGUUGGGCUUGUAGCCCUCAACACAUCUCUUAGAGCUGCACUUAUAGUGUCCGUAUGUGUUGGUGCACACCGGACGAGUGUGAGGACACACGGCUGGCAGACGCCUGCACUCGUUUACGUCUGAACAGGAUGAAGGAAAUGGAGACAGAAUCACACUCACAGACUGGGCGCUCCCUCACGAUUGCUUUAUUAGUAUUGCACACCAUUCCAAUUUUGAGUCAACAAGUUCUAAAAAAAAAAGGAAAUAAA